Molecule: ribosomal RNA, 482 nt
Filed under: uncultured bacterium
Lineage: Bacteria
Description: partial 16S ribosomal RNA
Rfam family: Bacterial small subunit ribosomal RNA
Source: RNAcentral
AUUGAACGCUGGCGGCAGGCCUAACACAUGCAAGUCGAGCGGAUGAAGGGAGCUUGCUCCUGGAUUCAGCGGCGGACGGGUGAGUAAUGCCUAGGAAUCUGCCUGGUAGUGGGGGAUAACGUCCGGAAACGGGCGCUAAUACCGCAUACGUCCUGAGGGAGAAAGUGGGGGAUCUUCGGACCUCACGCUAUCAGAUGAGCCUAGGUCGGAUUAGCUAGUUGGUGGGGUAAAGGCCUACCAAGGCGACGAUCCGUAACUGGUCUGAGAGGAUGAUCAGUCACACUGGAACUGAGACACGGUCCAGACUCCUACGGGAGGCAGCAGUGGGGAAUAUUGGACAAUGGGCGAAAGCCUGAUCCAGCCAUGCCGCGUGUGAAGAAGGUCUUCGGAUUGUAAAGCACUUUAAGUUGGGAGGAAGGGCAGUAAGUUAAUACCUUGCUGUUUUGACAUUACCAACAGAAUAAGCACCGGCUAACUUCGUG